UGGUUAGUUUAACCUUCGGGAGAACGAUCACCACGGUGUGGUUCAUGACUGGGGUGAAGUCGUAACAAGGUAGCCGUAGGGGAACCUGCGGCUGGAUCACCUCCUUA
RNAcentral lists this ribosomal RNA (107 nucleotides) under Idiomarina abyssalis. Its description in RNAcentral is "partial 16S ribosomal RNA". It matches the Rfam family "Bacterial small subunit ribosomal RNA", at positions 1427 to 1533 of the family's 1533-position model. The record is from RNAcentral. Lineage: Bacteria; Pseudomonadati; Pseudomonadota; Gammaproteobacteria; Alteromonadales; Idiomarinaceae.